UGGUUGUCGACAUUAUUUUUUGCCAAAUGAGCUUGGCUGGAGAUGAUCAUGGGACAAUACACUGAUUGUGCUCAAGAGCUUUUGUACAAGGCAGAGGAUGAGCAUGGAGAAGAGCUGUCAGAAGAUGAAGAGGCUAAAGAGGAGGAUGGACCGAUCGAUUAAGAAGCCCAACUUAAGGCAAGCAUGGGACUGCCUGUGGAGUUCAUAAGUUCCUCUGCACAGAAAAGAGCUGUACGUAGUAGCAAGUAAACAUUGCCUAUGUCUGUCCGUCACCAUAGAGUCCACCUAAAAGAAAGAAAAAAGAUCAUGUUGCUCCGAUGCUCUCUCUCUUGAUGGGAGAAAGUUGAUGAGGAAGAAUGCCAUCCACUGGGAAGCAGCUCCUGAGAAUCUGGAUGAAGAAGAUCCACCUUCACUCCAGGUGGAGAAGAAUGAUUCCACUGUUGAAAGCACCAAGGUUGCAUUUGAUUUGAUCUCAGUGAGGGGCUAGGAGGAAAAGCAGAACCUCCACCCUUCCAGCCAAAAUUAGUGCACUAUAUAUGUAUUUUACCUUUAUUUAACCAGGCAAGUCAGUUAAGAACAAAUUCUUAUUUUCAAUGACGGCCUAGGAACAGUGGGUUAACUGCCUGUUCAGGGGCAGAACGACAGCUCGGGGAUUUGAACUUGCAACCUUCCAGUUACUAGCCCAACGCUCUAACCACUAGGCUACCCUGCCGCCCCAGAAUAGGGAAUAGGGUGCCAUUUGAGACACAUCCUGUGAGAACAAAGACAGAAGACAAAAACCCAUAUGUACCACUUUGGAAUUGAUAGCCACUUGUGCAAAGCCCUUUCUCUUCCCCCAGAGCAGUGGAUAGGUCUCGUCACUGAGGACGGCUUCCCUCACGCCUCCAGGUGAGAUGCCCAGGAGGUGGCCACUUUUUAGGGCCUUCACACACGCCUCCUGGGGCCCGUGGAUGACACUGAACACCUCCAACAGCAGCUUGAACCCUACAGAGAACAAUAAAAGGUCCUGUUUUUAGGGUCGAAGUGGCUCAUGUAGUAAGAAUGGACUACGGCAGCUAUAGGCUAUACACUUUACUGAUCAACUACAGAGGGCUGAAUGUAACAUCUCACUUUUAUAUUUAGAUACUGGGAAAUGGAACUGUGAAGAUCUUACCUGGAACUUUGAACAGAAAGUAAUCAGCGACUGAGUGAACAAUCCGUCCCUUUUGAAUGAGGACCUUUGCCAGAAAGUAAUAAUAGUCAAUGGGAAUAGCCCCAUGAUAAUAGACUAUAAGAGCUGCUCCUUCAUCGGGAAUCUUCUCCAUACCAUGGAUUUCAUAUCCUGUUUUGAAAUAGACACAUUUAUCUAAGCAUUGGCAAUAGUCAUUUUUACAUUACAUUUAAGUCAUUUAGCAGACGCUCUUAUCCAGAGCGACUUACAAGUUAAUUUUUACCUUUAUUUAACCAGGUACGUCAGUUAAGAACACAUUCUUAUUUUUCAAUGACGGCCUGGGAACAGUGGGUUAACUGCCUGUUCAGGGGCAGAACGACAGAUUUGUACCUUGUCGGCUCGGGGGUUUGAACUCACAACCUUCCGGUUACUAGUCCAACGCUCUAACCACUAGGCUACCCUGCCUAGUCAUUGACUAGUCAAGCAGCGCCGAUGGAGAGCCGACUCCCUGUCGAGACCCAGGGGAGUCAGAGUUUGGAGGAAGGCUGAAGUGAAGUCAGGCGGGCACUCGUGAAGUGAUCGAUCUGAUUGUGCAGACUUUUGUCAGUGGUAGCUGACCAGUGUGAUUAGGGCCAACAGCAAGCAGACCAUGACAGUGGAAAUGAUGAGAAACCUUGUGAUGGUGGUAAUCGCAAAAGAGCUGCCUCCUCAAACACCAAGCCCACUGAGUCAAGAGACACAGGAUGGGUGUUCCCAGAAAAAUAACAAUGGAUCAAGUGGGAGAAGAGCAUCUAAUAGUGAAGGUGAUGAAAAGCCACAUAGACGAAUUGCAAAAGUAAAGUGGAGAUUGACACAGUCAUGAACUGUAUGUGGAGGAGAACCCUCAGAUGUCUGUAGAGGAAUCCUGGGAUAAACUGUGAUUAAAGUGCAGCCACGACCCCAUGUGUAUUAGGUUUGAGAGUGUGCUGAUGUUUAAGCCCCAGUCACCACCAGGGUGGGAAGGCUAGGAGGAAUAGGAAGCUACAUGGCGUUAGGAGAGCAUCCUGCCACAUCAACAAUCACACCUUCUCUACUGAAGAGGGAGAUGCCACAGAGCCCAAGCUGAGCAAGACCUU
Oncorhynchus masou masou (cherry salmon) is the source of this 2265-nucleotide long non-coding RNA. RefSeq lists it as uncharacterized. The transcript is spliced from 5 exons. The record is from RefSeq and is a predicted model, not a curated record. NCBI's taxonomy places the organism in Eukaryota, Metazoa, Chordata, Actinopteri, Salmoniformes, Salmonidae.